AAGUGAGUGUAAUUACCUUGCGCUGAAUUUCUCUAUGCAUGUUUAAUUCAGAUAACAUUGUUUUAAGUGUGCAAAAGGUUCUGAGUAUUGGACAUCGUGUGCAAAAACAUUCAGAAUAGGUAAAUGUUGUACAGUAGCCACCCGGUUGAAAACAUUUUAUUCGACAGCCACCAGACGAACAGUGUGCUAGUGCCCGUGUCAGGUCGAGGUAUCUCCCUGCAAGUGGCUUUAAGAGAGCAAUACAUUCCCCGCCGCAGUUCAUCCCCCGUCAUUGUCUACGGACCGAUCGCACGCACGUUGCCGAUUGUGAUUGAAAUCACCAGCAGCAGUAGCAGUAUUCAAAUAAGCAACCAACAACAACAGCAGCAGCGACAGUAGCAGCUUUGGUCCUAGCAAUAAAAGACGUCGUACAAAGACUGAUGAUCACCCUACAAAACAAGUUAGUUCAGUACGAUAUGAGGAGAUUACAAAAGCAAUUUGCAAAAUGAUUGCAACAGAUAUGCAACCAAUACCGAUUGUGGAAGAUAUUGGUUUCAUAGAGCUAAUAAAAGUUCUGGAGGCAGGCUACACGAUUCCGUGUAUCAUAAGCUACGUGGCAUUGGCAUCGGAUGCUUGGACAUUUAAUGCAAACGAUAGCUACUUGACAGUAUCAGCACAUUUCCUGAAUGAGGACUGGAUACCCCAAAAACUAACGCUCGGAACGUUCGGACGUUCGGACGUUCGGAACGACAUACAGCUGAUAAACUUUGUAGUGAUAUCAAGGAGGUUAUGAAUGACUGGAACAUUACAGAGAAGGUUGUUGCUAUUGUUCAUGACAAUGCGUCGAAUUUCAUUAAGGCAAUUGAGGAUCUCGAUUCGGCAAGACAGACUAUAUUUAGGCAACGAUGUGCUGCACAUACUUUCCAACUAGCCAUCAAUAACGGUGUAGGUAUAGAAGAAUGCAGUGUGUUGAUUAGAAAAUGCAGUGAAGUUGUAGUGCCUUUCGACAUUCGUCUAUCAGAACAACUGCGUUAGAAUCGUACUUGAGUGCUCUCGAUUUACCAGAAACGUUUCAACGUUUUUCAUGUUGGAGCGUCUCUCAGAGCUCCGUGCAGGAAUUACAACUGCGCUAGCGGAUCGAAAAAUAUUUAAUUUCCACAUAGCUGCAAAGUUAGAGUUAUGUGAGCAUGAUUGGGUUUCGAUUCAAUUGCUUGUUGAGCUUUUACGUCCACUUCAACAAGCAACGACAGUGUUAUGCUCAGACACAGCAAUUACUAUAAGUUUGGUUCGACCCAUAAUGUACAGCCUAGUCACCCGACAUCUAAAAAUAAGAAACCAAGACAAUGCCAUGAUAAUGGAUGUUAAGUCCCGAAUCAGUCGUGAAAUUUUAAGGAGAUUUAACAUGGAAGAUUCGCAUGACGAAACCGCAUGCUUGUAACAGCUGACUUGCUUCUUUGAUCCUCGCAGAAGGAUCAUCUGCAAGGGACAGGAUACGCGAGAAAGCAAAAAUACUAGUGGAGAGUAGAAAUCAACCCAGUAAUACGGACGCUGAUGGUGCCAGCAAAAUGAGCGUACUGGACUUCCUUUUAGGGGACUCAGAAGAGGAAGGUGGAGAAGAGUUAGAUAGGUAUGUGGCAGAACCACAAAUAGAUCGCAAUCUAGAUACAGCCUUGUGGUGUAGAGAACAUGAAAAAUGUUACCCCACACUAGCCGAUGUCGCGAGAGGCAUUCUCGGCGUGCCUGCAACAUCUGCCAGUGCCGAAAGGGAUUUUUCCUGUGCUGGUUACAUUGUAUCGUCUAGACAAAAUUGUUUAAAUCCCGAUACUGUGAAUUGUUUUG
Long non-coding RNA from Wyeomyia smithii (pitcher-plant mosquito), 1818 nucleotides. RefSeq lists it as uncharacterized. The record is from RefSeq and is a predicted model, not a curated record. The transcript has 4 exons. NCBI's taxonomy places the organism in Eukaryota, Metazoa, Arthropoda, Insecta, Diptera, Culicidae.